GAUCAUGGCUCAGGAUGAACGCUGGCGGCGUUGCUUAACACAUGCAAGUCGAACGAAGAUGCCGGAGUGCUUGCACUUUGGCAGACUGAGUGGCGGAGGUGAGUAACGGCGUGGGUAACCUGCCUUAUACAGGGGGAUAACAGUUGGAAACGACUGCUAAUACCGCAUAAGCGCACGGUAUCGCAUGAUACAGUGUGAAAAACUCCGGUGGUAUAAGAUGGACCCGCGUCUGAUUAGCUAGUUGGUGAGGUAACGGCCCACCAAGGCGACGAUCAGUAGCCGGCCUGAGAGGGUGAACGGCCACAUUGGGACUGAGACACGGCCCAAACUCCUACGGGAGGCAGCAGUGGGGAAUAUUGCACAAUGGGGGAAACCCUGAUGCAGCGACGCCGCGUGAGUGAUGAAGUAUUUCGGUAUGUAAAACUCUAUCAGCAGGGAAGAUAAUGACGGUACCUGACUAAGAAGCACCGGCUAAAUACGUG
RNAcentral lists this ribosomal RNA (482 nucleotides) under uncultured bacterium. RNAcentral's name for it is "bacterial SSU rRNA". It matches the Rfam family "Bacterial small subunit ribosomal RNA", at positions 15 to 507 of the family's 1533-position model. The record is from RNAcentral.